GGCUCCGUAGUGAAAUUCAUAUUGAGUUGCAAGCUCAUUGAUGCACAUUGGAAAUGUGCCGGGGCCU
Molecule: transfer RNA, 67 nt
Filed under: Zapornia paykullii
Lineage: Eukaryota; Metazoa; Chordata; Aves; Gruiformes; Rallidae
Description: tRNA-Cys
Source: RNAcentral